GAUGAACGCUGGCGGCGUGCCUAAUACAUGCAAGUCGAGCGAACGGACGAGAAGCUUGCUUCUCUGAUGUUAGCGGCGGACGGGUGAGUAACACGUGGAUAACCUACCUAUAAGACUGGGAUAACUUCGGGAAACCGGAGCUAAUACCGGAUAAUAUUUUGAACCGCAUGGUUCAAAAGUGAAAGACGGUCUUGCUGUCACUUAUAGAUGGAUCCGCGCUGCAUUAGCUAGUUGGUAAGGUAACGGCUUACCAAGGCAACGAUGCAUAGCCGACCUGAGAGGGUGAGCGGCCAAAGUGGAAGGGAGACGCGGCCGAGACUCCGAGGGGAGGCCGCAGUGGGGAAUCUGGGACAAUGGGCGAAAGCCUGAGGGAGCCGCGCGGGGGGUGUGAAGAAGGUCUUCGGAGUGAAAAACUCUUUUAGGGGGGAAAAAGAGAAGGAAAGGAAUGUGUGCAUAUUUGGACGGUACUAAAGAAAAACGCCACGGCUAACUUCGUG
RNAcentral lists this ribosomal RNA (497 nucleotides) under uncultured bacterium. RNAcentral's name for it is "partial 16S ribosomal RNA". It matches the Rfam family "Bacterial small subunit ribosomal RNA", at positions 28 to 507 of the family's 1533-position model. The record is from RNAcentral.